Erpetoichthys calabaricus (reedfish) is the source of this 2160-nucleotide long non-coding RNA. RefSeq lists it as uncharacterized. The record is from RefSeq and is a predicted model, not a curated record. The transcript is spliced from 2 exons. NCBI's taxonomy places the organism in Eukaryota, Metazoa, Chordata, Cladistia, Polypteriformes, Polypteridae.
CUUCCUCUAUUUGUUGUACCUCCGAUCCAUGUAAUUCGUCUGUGGAAGUCGGCAAACAAAAUCUUUCUCAGUUCAUCGUACCUCCGACUCCCACUCCUCAGUUUGUAAUUAGACUCGUAUAUUUGCUGUGCUGGUUGAAAACUCCUAACGUACAAGACACAAGGCAUUUCAUCACCGCCCGCGUGAAUCACCAGGCUACAUUUUAGCGCCCUAACCUGUUAACGUUUGGGUUUAAAGGCUGUAGCGAUGUCCUUGCGACCUUUUUAAAUAUUAUUAAUCAAAGAAGCUACAAAAAAUUGAGCAAUGUUGAACAAAAGACAAAACUGACAAAAUUAUAAAGAGGCAAUAUUUUUAUCAAAAGGCUAGAAGAAAAAUAGCUUUGUCAGAUUAGUGUGUGAAAUUGGAGAUUUUAAUCAGCUAUGACUCCAGUAACCCAAUAACGGUGACUCCGACUCCGUGGCCGUGUCUGUCGCUGUGCUACUCAAAUGGAUUCCCUAGCAGGUAUCCACCUCUCUGGCGUGUGCUAAUCAAAGUGCAGCCUUAUUUCUGUCACCCGCUCACUCUCCUCACUCACGCUGUUGCCAAGCAAAUGCAGGACAGGACAGGACAGGACAGGACAGGACGUGGCUUUUGCGUGUUCUCCCUCUUUGUUCCAGACUGCCAUCUUUAAACAUGCAGCACAUAUGACAUCAAACUCUUUUAAUGUAAUGUAGACUUGUGGGGUCCCGGAGCAAACACCCACCAGGCCGUACUGCACGCCACUGUUAUUAGUUGUUCUGAAUGGGCUAAGCUCACUUAUUACCCACAGUUCCCUUACACAGUCAUGGAUUUGUAUUGCACAUGCCCGUUUUUAUUUCUGUCAUGUCAUUUUCUAACCCAUUCGGUCCUGAUCAGGGUUGACAUCCCAGGUAGCAUAAGGGUGUAAGGCAGGAACAAACCCCUCUCAAACACCUACCAAAUUCCCCAUAACACCUCCCCCCCAAAAAAAAAUUCACGUAAUCUGCAUGUCUUUGGGAGGGCACCAGAGCACCUGAAGAAGCCCACACAGAGAUGGGAAGAACAUGCAAACUCCACGCAGGGAUGUAAACCCUGGACUCCUUACUUUGAGGCAGCAGCACCCCCCAUGGCCCCCUUGGUAUAGAAGGUCUGCACACUUUUUCCAUUAAAUUUCGCCUACUGGUAAAAUGUUUUUUUUUUUUUUUUUUCUCCUGCACUCACCUGGAAUGGCGGACAACCUUCUUUAUUUAUUGCUCACUCCUCAUCUCCACAAAAACAUUUUUGCUGAGUUCCCUAAUCAUUGUUUGAUCUGGGGGCAACUAUUUAUUUUUUGGAUAACCCAACUGCUUUAUUGCCAUCGUGUACUGACAGUUUACACACACGUCAUUACGACUGAGAACAUUUGUUUCAAAAAGGGCCUUGCAGAACGACGGAGAUGCUAUCUGCAGUUGCAUUUUGUUUUAUUCCAGGUUGAUGUGUAAUUUGUUGUAGCUGUGCUCUUUUGUAUGGAGCCAUAAUUAGAUAAAUGUGGCAAUAAAUAAAUAAAAAUCAAAAUGACAUCCAUCCAUCCAUUAUUCAACCCGCUAUAUCCUAACUACAGGGUCACUGGGGUUCUGCUGGAGCCAAUCCAAGACAACCCAGGGAACAAACCCCGGGCAGGGUGCCAGCCCACCGCAGUACAGUGACAUGCAAAAAUAAAAAAUAAAUUGUUCCAUGAAAUACUUGUAACUUUUUAUUGAAUGCAUGUCAUUAUCCAUCCAUCCAUUAUCCAACCUGCUAUAUUCUAACUACAGGGUCAUGGGGGGGUCUGCUGGAGCCAAUCCCAGCCAACACAGGGUGCAAAGCAGGAAACAAACCCCAGGCAGGGCGCCAGCCCACUGCAGAUAAUUAAUAAUACAUAUUAAUAUAAUAAUUGCAUAUUUUUAAAUUGUCUAAAAUAUUUCUUCAUGCUUUUGCACAAGACCUGACUGUCCUGCAUUGUUUUGCUGGUUUGAAAGUCUUUCUGACGACUCUCUGUAAUUCUGUAAAUGUCUUCUUGUAUAAACUGCAUUUUAGUUUGCAGAUAUCUUCCUCAAAAUUACAGUCUUGUUUUUCCAGGAAUUUAUGUACGAAUUAAAUGAAGAAAUGAGAAAAAUGUACAGAAAGAAAACUGAAUGAUACAGA